This 231-nucleotide ribosomal RNA is filed under the name uncultured bacterium. RNAcentral's name for it is "partial 16S ribosomal RNA". It matches the Rfam family "Bacterial small subunit ribosomal RNA", at positions 118 to 347 of the family's 1533-position model. The record is from RNAcentral.
UGAGGAACAUGACCUUCGGCGGGGGAUAGCCGGCCCAACGGCCGGGUAAUACCGCGUACGACCACAUGGGGACAUCCCUGAGUGGUGAAAGCAGCAAUGCGCCGAUGGAGUGCCUCGCGGCCUAUCAGCUAGUUGGUGAGGUAACGGCUCACCAAGGCGACGACGGGUAGCUGGUCUGAGAGGAUGGCCAGCCACAUUGGGACUGAGACACGGCCCAGACUCUACCGGGAG